UGGGGAAUGUUGCACAAUGGGCGCAAGCCUGAUGCAGCCAUGCCGCGUGUGUGAAGAAGGCCUUCGGGUUGUAAAGCACUUUCAGCGAGGAGGAAGGGUAGUGUGUUAAUAGCACAUUGCAUUGACGUUACUCGCAGAAGAAGCACCGGCUAACUCCGUGCCAGCAGCCGCGGUAAUACGGAGGGUGCAAGCGUUAAUCGGAAUUACUGGGCGUAAAGCGCACGCAGGCGGUUUGUUAAGUCAGAUGUGAAAUCCCCGCGCUUAACGUGGGAACUGCAUUUGAAACUGGCAAGCUAGAGUCUUGUAGAGGGGGGUAGAAUUCCAGGUGUAGCGGUGAAAUGCGUAGAGAUCUGGAGGAAUACCGGUGGCGAAGGCGGCCCCCUGGACAAAGACUGACGCUCAGGUGCGAAAGCGUGGGGAGCAAACA
This 427-nucleotide ribosomal RNA is filed under the name uncultured bacterium. RNAcentral describes it as "bacterial SSU rRNA". It matches the Rfam family "Bacterial small subunit ribosomal RNA", at positions 355 to 774 of the family's 1533-position model. The record is from RNAcentral.